UAUAGUUGAUUUACAAUAUUCUGCCAAUUUCUGCUGUACAGAAAAGUGACCCAGCAACAGAUGUAUACAUAUAUACAUUCUUUUUCUCAUAUUAUCUCCCAUCAUGUUCUAUCACGACUGAUGAGAUAUAGUUUCCUGUGCUGUACAGUAGGACCUCAUGGCUUAUCCAUUCUAAAUGUCAUAAGCCAGAGAGAGAGAGAGAGAGAGAGAGAACACGGCUAUUUAUUGUGUAUCCAUGGACUUUGUUUUCCAUUAAUUUUCACAUGACCCUAAAACUGAGUACUGAGUAACCCCAUUUUAGAGAAAAGGGGGCUGGGGACUCUAAUUAGUCCAAUUUUAGACAGGAGGUUCAGAGGAUUUGAGGGAACGUACCUAAGUCAGGUAGCCAACAAAUAGUCCAGUAGAUAUUCAAUCCCAGGAGUAUUGCUGUUAAUGAACACACUGGACUGACCCCUCCCCAAAAAGUCCCCCUGUGACUACCGAGUCCUUCAGCGUCUCGUCUCCAUCCUGGCACUUGGCCAUUUUCAGGCUCUGCUCAGAAGUCCCCUCCUUGAGGGACCUUCCCAACUGCCCCAUCGAAAAUACUGCCCCCCUCUGGUCAGUCUGCUUCUUUCAAUGCUUGAUUUUCUUUCUUACCCUUCACCCCAGAGUGAUACAUUUUGUAUGUGUACCUAUUUAUGGUCUUUGGUCUGUGAGCCCCAAGAAUGUCAGCUCCUUGAGGUCUGGGGCUUUGUAAGCUCUCAGAUCAUGGUUCAUCCUUGACAACCGGAUUAGAAAAAGACUCUGUGGAAAUGAGUAAGGGGUAUGAAUUGAAGAGGAAAACACCUAGGUAAUGAAAAGACAAAAGGAUAUAGAAUAAUAAGCCUAGGAUAUAGGGUCACACAACUUCAAUCUGAAUCACAGCUUUGCUCUCAAUUAGCUGUGUGACCAUAAGCAGGUUUGAGUUUCCUCCGUGGUAGUAGGGACACAGUGUCUUUGUGUGGAUUAAAUGACACAGUAUACAUUUAAAAGUGGCUCUUUGAAGUUCCCAUCAUGGCUCAGUGGAAACCAAUCAGACUAGCAUCCAUGAGGAUGCAGCAGGCUCGAUCCCUGGCCUCAUUGGCCUUGCGGUGAGCUAUGGUAUAGGUCACAGACAUGGCUCAGAUCUGGCAUUUCGGUGGCUGUGGCAUAGGCCGGAAGCUACAUCUCUGAUUCAAUCCCUAGCUUGGGAACCUCCAUGAGCAGCACCAGGGUGCAUCCCUAAAUGAAUAAAUUAAUAAAGGCUCUUUAUAACUGAGUUAACUCAUUUUUUUCUCCUAGAAUUGUUCCUGGAAACAUAGCUAAGCACAUAAUAAGAGCUCAGUACACACACGGUGGAGCAUGGAAUGCCAGACCAUAGUUCAUAAUUAGGCCAUGCUGUGUUAUAGAAAAAGCAAUGAAAAAGAGGAAGAAGGCCAGCAACUAGACCCACUUCUGUCAUAUAGCUACCUGUGCGCCCUUGGACAAGUUGCCUUGCUUCUUGGGUCCAUGUUUUCUCCUGGGUAAAACAAGGCAGUUGGACAGGAAUAUGUAUAAGUUGCCUUCCACCUCUGAAAUCUAUGAAAUUGAAAACAUCCCACAGUUGAUCUGGUUUC
This 1613-nucleotide long non-coding RNA is filed under the name Sus scrofa (pig). RNAcentral describes it as "lncRNA (ENSSSCG00065021133.1)". Lineage: Eukaryota; Metazoa; Chordata; Mammalia; Artiodactyla; Suidae. The record is from RNAcentral.